CCUACGGGAGGCAGCAGUGAGGAAUCUUGGUCAAUGGGCGGGAGCCUGAACCAGCCAAGUCGCGUGAGGGACGACGGUCCUAUGGAUUGUCAACCUCUUUUGUCGGGGAACAAGGGCGCCCACGGGUGGGCGGAUGAGUGUACCCGAAGAAAAAGCAUAGGCAAACUCCGUGCCAGCAGCCGCGGUAAUCCGGAGGAUACGAGCGUUAUCCGGAUUUAUUGGGUUUAACGGGUGCGGAGGCGGACAGUAAAUUCAACGGGAAAAAUGCGGUGCUGAACGCCGUCCAGCCGUUGAAACUGGCAGUCUUGAGUGGGCGAGAAGUAUGCGGAAUGCGUGGUGUAGCGGUGAAAUGCAUAGAUAUCACGAAGAACUCCGAUGGCGAAGGCAGCAUACCGGCGCCCGACUGACGCUGAGGCACGAAAGCGUGGGUAUCGAACAGGAUUAGAUACCCUUGUAGUC
Molecule: ribosomal RNA, 459 nt
Filed under: uncultured bacterium
Lineage: Bacteria
Description: partial 16S ribosomal RNA
Rfam family: Bacterial small subunit ribosomal RNA
Source: RNAcentral